RNAcentral lists this ribosomal RNA (272 nucleotides) under uncultured bacterium. RNAcentral's name for it is "partial 16S ribosomal RNA". It matches the Rfam family "Bacterial small subunit ribosomal RNA", at positions 523 to 796 of the family's 1533-position model. The record is from RNAcentral.
AUACGGAGGGUGCAAGCGUUACUCGGAAUCACUGGGCGUAAAGCGCGCGCAGGCGGCUAUUUAAGUUGGAUGUGAAAGCCUAUGGCUCAACCAUAGAACUGCAUCCAAAACUAUUUAGCUAGAGUGUGGGAGAGGAAGAUGGAAUUAGUUGUGUAGGGGUAAAAUCCGUAGAGAUAACUAGGAAUACCAAAAGCGAAGGCAAUCUUCUGGAACACUACUGACGCUGAGGCGAAAGCGUGGGGAGCAAACGGGAUUAGAAACCCCUGUAGUCC